GUCUACAGUCAUGCCACCCUGAACGUGCCCGACCCCAUCUGAUCUUGGAAGCUAAGCAGGGUCAAGUCUGGUUAGUACUUGGAUGGGAGACCACCUAAGGAAGACUAGGUGCUGUAGGCA
This 120-nucleotide ribosomal RNA is filed under the name Pteropus vampyrus (large flying fox). The record is from RNAcentral. Lineage: Eukaryota; Metazoa; Chordata; Mammalia; Chiroptera; Pteropodidae.